This 401-nucleotide unclassified non-coding RNA is filed under the name uncultured Glomus. RNAcentral describes it as "SSU rRNA". It matches the Rfam family "Eukaryotic small subunit ribosomal RNA", at positions 569 to 977 of the family's 1831-position model. The record is from RNAcentral. Lineage: Eukaryota; Fungi; Glomeromycota; Glomeromycetes; Glomerales; Glomeraceae.
CGCAGCCGCGGUAAUUCCAGCUCCAAUAGCGUAUAUUAAAGUUGUUGCAGUUAAAAGCUCGUAGUUGAAUUUCGGGAUCAUCAGGUUGGUCGUGCCUCUGGUAUGUACUGAUUUCGAUGGUCCCUCCUUCUUGAAGAGCCGUAAUGCCAUUAAUUUGGUGUUGCGGGGAAUCAGGACUGUUACUUUGAAAAAUUGAGUGUUUAAAGCAGGCAAUCGCUUGAAUACAUUAGCAUGGAAUAAUGAAAUAGGACGUUUGGCCCUAUUUUGUUGGUUUCUAGGAUCGACGUAAUGAUUAAUAGGGAUAGUUGGGGGCAUUAGUAUUCAAUUGUCAGAGGUGAAAUUCUUGGAUUUAUUGAAGACUAACUACUGCGAAAGCAUUUGCCAAGGAUGUUUUCAUUAAU